This is a long non-coding RNA of Felis catus (domestic cat), 716 nucleotides long. RefSeq lists it as uncharacterized. Lineage: Eukaryota; Metazoa; Chordata; Mammalia; Carnivora; Felidae. The transcript is spliced from 3 exons. The record is from RefSeq and is a predicted model, not a curated record.
CCUGAGGGGGAGAAAGCGGAAUGCUCUUUCCAGAAAUGCCGUUCUCUCCAGGCCCUUCUGUCCUUCGCCACCUCCCGGGGCUCCCCGAUGCCCCUGGUCCGCUUCCCUCGGCCCGUCUGGCCUGGACUCCCCAUCUGGAAUACGGGGCUAUUGAACGCCCGCAAGAGAAAUAAGAGGUAAUAAGAGCCCAGCUGGCCUCACCUGAACGGAUGGCAGAGACGGGCAGAAUCCGAUGCCCCACAAACUUGCCACCUUCCUCAAAGGCCGCGAUGCGGAGCGAAGCCAGCGUGGGGAGCACCACCUGAGGGCCCAGACCGGUGCUGAGCCAGGGAGCUGACCCACGGCCACCGCGUCCACAGGGCCACAGCUGACCACAGCCACCAAGGCCAGCGCUCCGAGUGGCCCCUCAGACGAGCUGACCCAAUUACUGACCAUCGGUCACCGUCGCCACUGAACCAGUGGCGGCCUCCACGGCCCGGCCCAACCGAUGGCGAGCAGCGGAGAGAACGGGGCAGACCCCUCCAGGCACCGCUCUCAUGGGACGGUCCCGGUCAUGGCCAGGCUGCAGAGGGCAAGGAGCCCAGGCCUGACCCUGUCACACGCGGGGCCUGGAGGUGACAGGCGCACCCGCCUUCCGACUCCUGACCACCAACCCACGCACCUGCUUCCUGCUGCCCCGAGGGCCCGGCGGGGCGGGUGCAGGCCCCGGGCUCACC